GAUGAAGAACGUAGUGAACUGCGAUAAGUAAUGUGAAUUGCAGAAUUCAGUGAAUCAUCGAGUCUUUGAACGCACAUUGCGCCCCCUGGUAUUCCGGGGGGCAUGCCUGUCCGAGCGUCAUUGCUGCCCUCAAGCACGGCUUGUGUGUUGGGCCUCCGUCCUCCUCCCGGGGGACGGGCCCGAAAGGCAGCGGCGGCACCGCGUCCGGUCCUCGAGCGUAUGGGGCUUCGUCACCCGCUCUUGUAGGCCCGGCCGGCGCUUGCCGACACAUCAAUCUUUUUUCCAGGUUGACCUCGGAUCAGGUAGGGAUACCCGCUGAACUUAAGCAUAUCAAUAAGCGGAGGA
This 345-nucleotide unclassified non-coding RNA is filed under the name soil metagenome. Its description in RNAcentral is "partial contains 5.8S ribosomal RNA, internal transcribed spacer 2, and large subunit ribosomal RNA". The stretch from base 1 to 120 matches the Rfam family "5.8S ribosomal RNA", at positions 35 to 154 of the family's 154-position model. The record is from RNAcentral.